RNAcentral lists this ribosomal RNA (499 nucleotides) under uncultured bacterium. Its description in RNAcentral is "bacterial SSU rRNA". It matches the Rfam family "Bacterial small subunit ribosomal RNA", at positions 29 to 507 of the family's 1533-position model. The record is from RNAcentral.
ACGAACGCUGGCGGCGUGCCUAAUACAUGCAAGUCGAGCGGACCAACUUAAGAGCUUGCUCUUAUGAGGUUAGCGGCGGACGGGUGAGUAACACGUGGGCAACCUGCCCUGUAGACUGGGAUAACAUCGAGAAAUCGGUGCUAAUACCGGAUAAUUGUUGGAACUGCAUAGUUCUAACUUAAAAGAUGGCUCCGGCUAUCACUAUAGGAUGGGCCCGCGGCGCAUUAGCUAGUUGGUAAGGUAAUGGCUUACCAAGGCGACGAUGCGUAGCCGACCUGAGAGGGUGAUCGGCCACACUGGGACUGAGGCACGGCCCAGACUCCUACGGGAGGCAGCAGUAGGGAAUCUUCCGCAAUGGACGAAAGUCUGACGGAGCAACGCCGCGUGAGUGAUGAAGGUUUUCGGAUCGUAAAGCUCUGUUGUUAGGGAAGAACAAGUGCCGUUCGAAUAGGGCGGCACCUUGACGGUACCUAACCAGAAAGCCACGGCUAACUACGUG